This 253-nucleotide ribosomal RNA is filed under the name uncultured bacterium. RNAcentral's name for it is "partial 16S ribosomal RNA". It matches the Rfam family "Bacterial small subunit ribosomal RNA", at positions 524 to 776 of the family's 1533-position model. The record is from RNAcentral.
UACGUAGGGGGCAAGCGUUGUCCGGAUUUAUUGGGCGUAAAGAGCGUGUAGGCGGCCUGACAGGUCUGCUGUGAAAACUCGAGGCUCAACCUCGAGAUGUCGGCGGAAACCGUCUGGCUAGAGUCCGGAAGAGGAGAGUGGAAUUCCUGGUGUAGCGGUGAAAUGCGCAGAUAUCAGGAAGAACACCUAUGGCGAAGGCAGCUCUCUGGGACGGUACUGACACUGAGACGCGAAAGCGUGGGGAGCGAACAGG